RNAcentral lists this ribosomal RNA (496 nucleotides) under uncultured bacterium. Its description in RNAcentral is "partial 16S ribosomal RNA". It matches the Rfam family "Bacterial small subunit ribosomal RNA", at positions 28 to 507 of the family's 1533-position model. The record is from RNAcentral.
GACGAACGCUGGCGGCGUGCCUAAUACAUGCAAGUAGAACGCUGAAGGAGGAGCUUGCUCUUCUUGGAUGAGUUGCGAACGGGUGAGUAACGCGUAGGUAACCUGCCUGGUAGCGGGGGAUAACUAUUGGAAACGAUAGCUAAUACCGCAUAAUAGUAGAUGUUGCAUGACAUUUGCUUAAAAGGUGCAAUUGCAUCACUACCAGAUGGACCUGCGUUGUAUUAGCUAGUUGGUGAGGUAACGGCUCACCAAGGCAACGAUACAUAGCCGACCUGAGAGGGUGAUCGGCCACACUGGGACUGAGACACGGCCCAGACUCCUACGGGAGGCAGCAGUAGGGAAUCUUCGGCAAUAGACGGAAGUCUGACCGAGCAACGCCGCGUGAGUGAAGAAGGUUUUCGGAUCGUAAAGCUCUGUUGUAAGAGAAGAACGAGUGUGAGAGUGGAAAGUUCACACUGUGACGGUAUCUUACCAGAAAGGGACGGCUAACUACGUG